Mya arenaria is the source of this 5553-nucleotide long non-coding RNA. RefSeq lists it as uncharacterized. The record is from RefSeq and is a predicted model, not a curated record. The transcript is spliced from 8 exons. NCBI's taxonomy places the organism in Eukaryota, Metazoa, Mollusca, Bivalvia, Myida, Myidae.
UGACAAGGGACAAAAUAGUGUUGUAGACAAAUCAGUUGACCCAUUAAAUAGUCUAAAAUAAUAGACGUGUUAUAAGGAUUUGCCAUAUCAAAAAUCUAAAAAAAAUCCGUCAACGUACAAUUAUUUGGACUAACCCAUUAAAUAGACCAUAACGCUAUUUUGUUGUAAAAAAUGGUUAACAAACUAUGACAAAUGAUGGAAGAGGACAGCAUGAGAGGCAAUAUGGUUUAUGCUAACCCACGAUUGACGCCAUUUCCUAAUGUAUUGAAUGGAACAACAAGAUAAUGUUGCAAUUGUGCAAGACUUGUCAUGCCAAAAUCAUUGUGGGUUUGACCUGUUGCGCUGCUAUGUGAGCCACACUAUCGGGCCGAGUUACAACAUGACUUUAACAGAAGGUGCUCUGUACUGCAGCUACAGAAAUGUCAUGCAACAGACACUUAUCAGAGAGAAUUCCAUCCGCACCUUGGGUUUAUGUUGUGUACAUUCUGGUAAAAGAGGGUAUCCGCCUAAAGAAGGCGCUCAUAUUGCAACACGCAGCGGAUCUUGCCUUCUGUUUCAUCUGCAGAACAACCAUGCUGGCUUGCAAGGCUGGGAACAUCAAGGCCGAGGGUGGCUUUAUCACUGUGGGAUUUAACUACUGGCGGGACGGACCAAAGAAGUUGCUAAUCAACAAGAACUCUUAAUGCCACUAGGAAGUAAUGGAAAGACACAUGAAACUACACUGACAGACUUAGGACAUUGGAAAUGUAUUUAAGGAAGAUCCUUGGGUGGACAUUUGCAAGGCCCUGCUUUCCACAAAGAACAAAGCUGCCAAGAUAAACUUGGCUCUUCGGAUGUGUGCAACUAAAAAUCUUCCAAUGAUGAUGUGUUGUCAGUUGAAGCUUCUGUUUAGAUGUCAUCAAUGGGAAGGUUGAUGGUUUUACCAGAAAGUACAUGAUUUUGACAAACUGCCAACAAGAGCUUCAAAGGGAAAACCUCCCUAUGUGUACAAGUGUUGAUGGUGUUUAUCGUGACGGUGCACUGCUAGUUUGCCAUCUGUGUGUGCCACAAUGCUCGGAGAAGCAGCCCCUCCUACUGGGUGGAUACCCGUCGGGAAUCUACAGCACUUACACCAUCUCCUGCAGGACAACGAUGACGAUGAUGAACUCUGAUCUUAUGAUCUGUUGUUAAUUAUUUAAAAGGCUGUUUAGAAUUCAUGUUUGAGUUUUGUUUUUUCAAACAUGUAGUGUUUUUUGAAAGAUAAAAAAGUUACGUGAUGUCAAAGCCUCGUUGUUGUUGGCUUCUUUUUCAGGCCAAAGUUUUAUGUUAAUUGUUCUAGUCCUAACUUAAAAUGAUAUUAACAGGAAACUUGGUACGUGUUAUCAGUGCAAAGUUAUUCCUCCUGAUGAACUCAGAGGAAAAUAGAUGAGCAUAUUUGUGGUGCUAUAUUGAUAGAUCAUCUAUAUUGAUGGAUUAACAACCAAAUGCAUUACAGUUUAAACUAAAAACUGUCACUGAAAGUGCUACCCACUAAACAUGAAAUGUAUUCAUUCCAAUUAGGACUAAAAUCAAGUGCAUUUUGCAGAAAUGUAAGGGACAUGUACAGUAUGCAUCAUUUUAAGCUCGUCUGUUUUAGCAUAAAACAGUUGAGGUUUUGUCAUUGCCUUGGUGUUGUUAUCAGCGGAUAUGUUGUGCAGAAACUUUACCCUUGGCCAUACUUCCCAAACCAUUGAAGACAAUCCAAAGUCUUUUCACAUGUAUAGCAAGGCCCAUAACUCUGGCUUUAAUAACUGUUGAGUUAUGCCCCUUGUUUGUCUGAAAAUCACCAACAGACAAACAUUGGGUUGGUGUCACUGCUUCUUGUUAAAAUUGUUGUUAUAAAUUAUUUUGGGGUAUUUAUUUUGGUAAUAAUUUCAUUGCUUUGAUGUUCCUGUACCCGAUUGAACAUGUGUCUAGAGUAUGGUUUCCUCUCUAGGAGAUUGAAUCUCCUAAUUUGGUGUGUUAUAUACAUAUAAUACAAAUUCAAAAUAUUGGACCACUUCAGAACUUUGUUAAAGUUAACAAUGUGGUUAAUGCCUUUGUUGUUAACCUUUAAAGGUGAAGUAUUUGAUAUCAUGCUCAUAAAUUUAAAUGAAAUAAGUACACCUGAAACAGAUGUUAAAAUAUAUCCAUGAAAUUUGCACAGCUGUUAAAAUUAGAAAGUUUACAACAUGAUGUUAACAAGGUUGUUAAAAUUAACAAAGUUCUGAACAAAUAGCCGAUUAUUUUAAUACUUCGGCAAAACAUUGUAUGAAGUUUUAUUCUUAGAAGCCAUCUUCAGAGUAUAUAAUAAUUGAUGCUUUUUAUAUAUGUUAAUUUUCAUGAAAAAUAGGAUCUAAGUACUAUUACCACUUUUAUUGUACACUAGCAUGCCACAUAUUAUGCUCUUUUGUAGGACAUUGUUGAUUCAAUUUUAAGAACUUUUAUUACCUACUAUUUAUUGAGUGUUUUAAUUAUUUAAAUGAAUUAUUGUUUAUAUGAUUAUCAUGCAAUGACUUAUUUGUAUUUUUGCAUAUAUAUAUCUAGCACAAUAUUAUCAAAUUUACCAACUUAGAUUGACUUUGAUAUUGCUGUAAAAACAUUUAGUUGCAUAAGACUUUCAAUUGAUACAGUAUAAAGGACAUUUGAAAUGUCUGUCUGAUGUUUGCCUGCCUGUCUGUCUGCCUGCCUGUGUCUGAUGUCUGCCUGCCUGUGUCUAUGACUUGUCGAUGUGUGUUUGUAUGUCUGUCUGUCUGUCUAUCUGCCUGAUGUCUAUCAUAUUUUGUCUGCCUGUGUCUGAUACCUGUCUGAUGUCUGCCUGCCUGUGUCUAUGACUUGUCGAUGUUUGUUUGUAUGUCUGUCUGUCUAUCUGCCUGAUGUCUAUCAUAUUUUGCCAGUCUGUCUGCUAUCUGUCUUUCGAUGUUUGUUUUAUUCCUGCCAGUCUGUCUGAUGUGUGCCUGUCUGUGUCUGAUAUAUGUCUGUCAGAUGCCUGCCUGUGACUGGUAACUGUCUGUCUGUCUGUCUAUUUGUACUUCUGAUUGAUUAUAUGUGUUGAUGAUAUGAUCAAUAAUGUAUUAUGUCUGAAAGCAAAUACCUUUCUUGUAACUAUGAUACCAAAUUAUUAACCAAAUGUCCAAAAAUAAAUGAAAUAAAGGAUUUUGCUUGUCUUAAGAUUAAAUAAAAUUGUUAUUUGACUGUAAAGUUCUUUUAAAUUUUGUUAUUGUAUCCAGUAAAUGACACAUUAAGAAAUUAUCAAGCUGAUUAUAUUUUGGGUCUUACUACCUUAAUUAAGUUAUCUCCCUUUAACCAUGAUUGGUCUUGUUCGGGCCAUAUCUUGGAAAUUACUAAAACGAUUAAAAUGAAACUUCAAAUAUAGAUAUAUGGCAAUGAGAGGAAUUGCAGUGGACAAGAACCAUAAUCCUGCCCUGCAUAUUUAUAAGUAACCUCCCUUUACCUGAUAUUUAAAAAAAUGGGUACUUGUCCAGACCAUAUCUUGGAAAAUACUAAAUUGAUUCAUAUGAAACUUGAAAUGAAGAUAGGUGGCAAAAUGAGGAAUAGCAUAAACAAAGAACCAUAAUCAUGCCCUGCAUUUUUUAGUUAUUCCUUACCGUUUAUGAAAAUCUGAUGUCCGGGCCAUAUUUUGGAUAUUUAAGAAUUUCCAUAACUGCUUUUUUAUUUCAUUUCUUGAAAAAUACUUUUAUAUUUAAUUCUUAUACCUGCCCAUAUCUUCGUUCCAUGUCAUGGAUUCUUCCAACUGUGUAUAAUAAUGCUACAACAAUUUACCUUCUACGAGCAAAUUGUAUUACAAUUUCUGCCAUUUCAUAAAAAAUCUGCGUAUGAAGAGCAUCGCUUCCAGCAAUAUUCUUGUAAAAACAAAGUUGUCCUUUUUAGCUCGGCCAUUUGAAGAAUAAGGUGGCUUUACUACUUGCUCCAGUAUCGGCGUUCAGUAAUGGUUUUAGGGCAAGUUGGCAUUUUCACUUGCAACUCCGAUGCCCUUCAUUUUAUUAACUUAAUACUUCACACAGUUGUUAAGGACCAUCACACAAUCAUGGCACAUAGUGUCUGGUUUAAGUUUUAGAGCAAGUUGGAAUUUUUUAAUAUCUUCUAUGACCUUCAUUCAAUUGAAUUAAUACUUCACAUUGUUUAAGGUCAUCACACAAUUAUGUUACAUAACUCCAUAAUAUCCUUAAUACAAAUUAAGGCCCUUGAUCAACUGACUUUCUUAGAAAGUUUUGUUUAAGUUUUUGAGCAACUUUAUUUUUACUGAGAUCUUAAAUACCAAUCAUUCCAUCUACUUCAUACAUAGAACCAUCACAUAAUUAGGUUACAUAACUCUAUAUUAACCUUAUUACAAAUUGUAGCCCUUGAUUAAAUUCUUUUUUGAUUGCUUUUGGUGGCACAUUUUUUAUUUUACCAAAGUGAAACCUGGGUAUUAGAAUGACGUACGUCGUUGUUCGAGCAGGCCGCUGGGAGGGCUGUGUAAAACUAACUAUGAUUUCGAAUAAUAAUAUUUGAUAAAACGGGAAAAAAAUCUCGUAAUUGCCGUUUUAUUUGUUAUUUUCAGUACGAUAAGAGGGACGAAAAAAUAGAAAAACAAAGAAAUUGAGUACGAAUAAGAUCAGGUUUUAGUACGACGUCAUUCAUUGGUCGGUGAAAGGCAAUUGACACCAAUGAUAAGGCUUCUAGCAUACAUAUGACAUCAGGAUGAUUGCGUUGACUUCCGUUUAUUUCCGCAUUCAUUUUCUAGUAAAAGGCAGUGUAUUCUAGGAAAAAAUAGAUUGAUAGAGAUGUCCAUUCUGGUUCUUAAAGUCCUCUGACUUGCUGCUGAAGAGGAGAAGGCAGUUGAUACUAAUGAUGUGCUUUAAUCUUCUACUAUCAGUGGUUGUACAAGAUGUCUUGAUAAAGAGGGUGAAGCUGUCCAUGUCUUCCUAUUGUUUUUGCAAAACACAAGACACAUAUUCGGUUCAAGAACAGACCUACAAUAAAUGAAUUGUGAUCAAUGUGAAUGAAAACUAUCCUUGACUGCAAGCACUAAAGAAAUACACACAAGUGCAUACAUACAUACAUUUGGAACAAAAAUUAAGACGUCUAUAUAAAACUGAGAGUAUGACACAGGAUGUGAAACAACAUUUCAAAUGCUAAAAACGGUCCAACUAGAGAUUUUCAUAGAGUAUCAUGGCUGUUUAACCCUUGCAAAAUUAGCUUUUAAAGGGUCUGUGUAUACUGAAGACAUUGUUACUGUUUUAUAUAACGUUUUAUCUAAUCUUAUUAUUAAAUUGUAAAAAUUAGUAAUUAAUAUUUUUGUCCAGUGUCUGUUUAACUCUCGUGGUUUUUGAAGACAUAAAAAAUCCAGGUUAUGUUUUUGGGCAAGAACUGGCCGCCUGGUUAAAUCUGUUGGUUACUAAAGAGCACCGUGCUAGUGUACCUGCAGUCCUCGAUUCGAGCCCCACAGCCGAAGCACAUUUUCCUUACAUGUUACUUUAGUAUUGUAAUAGUAAAAACGCAUAGGUGUUGUCAGUGUAGGCAUUGUUGUGCAAAACAUAAACCUUGGUCAUA